GUAGAUUCCAGCUCCAAUAGCGUAUAUUAAAGUUGUUGCAGUUAAAAAGCUCGUAGUUGAAUUUCGGGGUUCUACCGUUGGUCGGGCAAUAGUCUGUACUGGCGUGUAGAAUUUCUACCUUCUGGGGAACCAUCAUGUUAUUUAUUUAGCGUGGUGGGAAACCAGGACCUUUACCUUGAAAAAAUUAGAGUGUUCAAAGCAGGCUUACGUCUGAAUACAUUAGCAUGGAAUAAUAAAAUAGGACGGUGGUCCUGUUUUGUUGGUUUCUGAAUCACCGUAAUGAUUAAUAGGGAUAGUUGGGGGCAUUAGUAUUCAAUUGUCAGAGGUGAAAUUCUUGGAUUUAUUGAAGACUAACUUCUGCGAAAGCAUUUGCCAAGGAUGUUUUCAUUAAUCAAGAACGAAAGUUAGGGGAUCGAAGACGAUCAGAUACCGUCGUAGUCUUAACCAUAAACUAUGCCGACUAGGGAUCGGACGAUGUAUNG
This 482-nucleotide ribosomal RNA is filed under the name Gigaspora margarita. Its description in RNAcentral is "SSU rRNA". It matches the Rfam family "Eukaryotic small subunit ribosomal RNA", at positions 579 to 1067 of the family's 1831-position model. The record is from RNAcentral. Lineage: Eukaryota; Fungi; Glomeromycota; Glomeromycetes; Diversisporales; Gigasporaceae.